ACUUAUAUAAUAUAAUAAGUAUAUUUAACUUCCAAUUAAAAAGUUUAAAAAUUUAAUAUAAGUA
This 64-nucleotide transfer RNA is filed under the name Apsilochorema hwangi. Its description in RNAcentral is "tRNA-Gly". Lineage: Eukaryota; Metazoa; Arthropoda; Insecta; Trichoptera; Hydrobiosidae. The record is from RNAcentral. RNAcentral also lists the same sequence under 1 other name.